UGGGGUAUAGCCAAGCCGGUUAAGGCAACGGACUUUGACUCCGUCAUUCGUAGGUUCGAGUCCUGCUACCCCAGCCA
RNAcentral lists this transfer RNA (77 nucleotides) under Anaerovorax odorimutans. RNAcentral describes it as "tRNA-Gln". It matches the Rfam family "tRNA". Rfam says of the family: Transfer RNA (tRNA) molecules are approximately 80 nucleotides in length. Their secondary structure includes four short double-helical elements and three loops (D, anti-codon, and T loops). The record is from RNAcentral. RNAcentral also lists the same sequence under 10 other names. Lineage: Bacteria; Bacillati; Bacillota; Clostridia; Peptostreptococcales; Anaerovoracaceae.